This is a non-coding RNA of Meleagris gallopavo (turkey), 4227 nucleotides long. The record is from RefSeq and is a predicted model, not a curated record. Lineage: Eukaryota; Metazoa; Chordata; Aves; Galliformes; Phasianidae.
GCCAUCUUGCGCUCGCUUCGAGAUGGGUCUGGUUGUGCUGGCGGCGAGGAGGAUGGUCAGGUCUUGCACCCGUGUAUAGUUUCAGUCUCUUUACGCGUGUCCCAGCAAGCACAGAGCUGGGGUUGAGGUGACGCUCUUGAAAUCAGUUUGGCCUUUCAGCCAUAACCUACAACCUCACUUUUAUCCUCCAUUCUCUACAAUCUUCAAGUAGCAGAUACACAGGAAGGCAGGCCAAGAGCAGCAUCUCUGCUCGCUUUCAUUUCACUGUUGCUAUGAACUGGCUUUUUACGCAGACCUCAUUAGCAAAGGUGCCCUGCCCCUCUGAUUGCACAGAUUGGAAGCUGAAGCCACAAGAAGUGAAAGCAUUUGCCUCAGGAAACCGGGUCCAACAGAUCAGGUUUCCAGUUGCAGAUACAUGAGAGCUCUUCCCUGCCCUCGUUAUCCUCAGGAAAGUGGUAACAUUAUCCUCCUGCUCUCAUCUGGAACAGCUCCAUCCAGCCACAGGCAGGACACGUGUGGCUGUCCCCAGCUCACCCCCACAAGCUGUGGGUUACAACAGGAAGCCUUCGAGAAGGCACAAAGGAAAAAGCUGAACAUCUGGAGCAAUCAGCAGAAUGCAGAGGUGAGUUCGUGGGUGAUGUCGUCAGAAGUAGACGGCAGGUGGCACCCAUGGAUUAGUACAGGGCUUGCUCUGGGUGCUCUCUUGGUUGCAAGCAAGGAUUGCUGCACACAGUGCUGGCCUGGGGUACACAGCCUUUCAGGCUAUUCCCUUUACAGUUUGCUAGCCUAGGGAGCAAGGGCUCGAGGCCAAAAUGCCUGGGAUGCACACAGAAAGCAGGGCUGUUGUAGUAUGGAACAGUAAGUGCACUGCUUCCUCAGGGAUGGGAAGCAAGGGGAGAGGGAUGGGGCUGGCAGGAAAAGGACCAGACCUAAGGUAUCCGAGCAAGGAAAGCAAAAGGCAGCCAAGAGUCUGAGUCACCAGCUGUGCUUGCAGCAAUGAGGUUGGCUUGUGAUCAAGCUGAGACAUCAGCCCACAGGUCAGGAGCAGGCAUGCUGAAGGUAAUCAGGGUUAGAUGCAGCCUGGUGACCCCUGCUCAGGUCCCUAAAAGCACAGCAGACCUUAGAGCAAGCUUGGGUCAGGAUUCAGGUCAACACAGCCCAUAUGUAUUACGAGCAUAGCUGGGGCUGAACCUGAAGACCAGCACUUGUAGCAUAACUCAAGCAAAGAACAAGGGCACUGGGCUGGCCUUAAAUAGGCUCCUGGGCCAUUGGCAGCUGUGUGUCCCAGCGAGGUUUGUUCAGCACACAGUGCCUCCAGCAUUCUGACAUGCUGAUGCUUUGUGUUCCUCAAGAAGUAGGAACUCUUACCCCAUCCCCAAAGCACAGCAUCGAGCGUCUCUGCAGUGCACCUUCAUGUUGGGGCUGUAGCGAUCUCACCAGCUCCCCAUCAUGCAUGGUGCCUCCUAAAGCAGCAUUCAUGGGUGCUCAAGCUGGCUUUUGGGGAGGUGGAGCAGAAGGCAGCCCAAUGACCCUGACAUCGACGAGCACCGUGCUAUCAUGGCUCAGCAUUGACUGCAGUCCUCGUGCUGUCUGCCUGGGGUCCCAGUGGCACACGGCCAACCAACCAGGCAGAAACACUGAUCCGUUUGACUAAAUGCCUAUAAUUAAAAUGCAAUGAAGACAAUAAAACUAGGAUCAUUUGAAGGCCAGAGGAGAGAACGAGCUGGCCAGGAGUUCAUUACUUGCAAACAACAGCCCGUGGCAGCACAGACUGCUCGCAUGAUGGACACUGCACAUGUCCCUGCAAUUUAUUAUAUUUAUCAAACAUUAUGCUUAUAUUCCAUCCUCUGCUGGUCAACCUUUAUCAGCUAAAUCAAAAUUAAAGGUGUUAGCCUGCCUUUACAUUAUGGUAAAUGAUACAACUAGCUCCGCAUUAGCUCAGCUCAACCUGUUUUCCUAAUCCUGUGUGAUAUAGGAGGUCAGACAAACAUGUGGUGUUUUUUAACCUUAAUGGCUAAAACAUCCCCCAAAUACACCUUUCAGUGGACCCACUGUCUGCUGCAAGGGGCUGCUUCCCAUGGACCCCUUCCCACGUAGGUGGGAGCUCAGUGUCCCCAUCCGUGCAUAUGUGGAUUACCUGGUAAAUCUCCACAGCAUCCUCAGGGCAGAAAAAAGGGGCGUUUUCACACCAUGCUUGGAUGUUUUUCCCUCAGAGCUGGAAAAGGAGGGAUGGGGCACAGGGCAGCACAUCUCCAUGUGAUACAUAGGAUCAUGAGGCUGUGAUUCUUAGCCAAGCAGCCUGAAAACCUUCCAGAAAGGUGCACUGAGGAAGCUGUGGCAGAGAGCUGGCAAAAGCUUUUAGUUGCAGAUACAAAAAGAAAAGCAAUUUCUGCUGAAGGAUUUUUGUAUUAAAAGGAGAAAAUGAACAAUAGGGGAAGGCAGUGAGUGACCAUGGGUUUGGCUGGAUAUCUUCAGUAUCUCAACUACAGAAGCUCAGAGGAGUGUCAAUAGAGGAGAUUUAAUUGAUGACAAAUAUUAUGGCUGGUACAGAAUUAGAGGCACUCCAGACUGAGCAGGGAGGACUUUUAUAGCAGCUAACAGAUGAGCAUUGUGAAGGAUGACUAUGAUUCUUUGGGCAUUUCUGGGUUAGAUUGCGGUAAAAUUGCAGCAAAAAGCAAUUUUGCUUUAAUCAACUAUAUAACAAAGCCCCAACAUAGUGAAAAGCAGAAGGCAUCAGAAGAUAGGAAAUUGUCAGCAUUGCUGGAGCUAAAAGAUAAGAUUGUACUCCCCACAGCUACACUAAAAGAGGAUAAAUUAUCCAUAGGGGCAAUUCAGAAAGAAAAUAAUGUACAAUUAAAGUUGUUUGAAUUACAGUUUUAGGGAAGCACGGGAGGAGGAAAAAGCCAGUUUCAGUGGAAAGUCUGAAACCUCCUUCCAUGUGCUUUUAGAAAGCAGAACUCCUUUUGGGGAAAAUAGAAAAAAAAAGAAGAAAACAUGAUUAACAGGGCAGAGCAAACCCUAAACAGUAAAUGAUGUGUUAGAAUGGGCCUUGUAGGGAACCUUAUAGGAGCAGUCUUCAGAAAAAAGCAGACAGUGCAGAGGGUCAUGGUUGUCUUGGAUUUCUGAUGACAUCUGCCCUACUUUGGGCUCAAUUUGAGCACAGGGCAAACAGACCAUGGGCUAAAUGUUAAAUAAUAAGAAAAGCUGCUAGAGGAGUGUGGUCGCAUGAACUGAAAUAACUGCCCUGAGCCUACCUGUCACUUUUUGUCGGGGCAACUUGUGUAGGGUUGAAUUAGGCUGGGUUGGAUUAGUUUGGGCAGAUAGGGCUUGUGCCCAUGUCUCCAGGUGAGGAUGAGGGGCUCCAUGCUGCAGACCUCCCUGAAGCUCCGUGGACCAUCAGGCUGCUGGGAAAGCAUGGGAGAACGGGUGAUUUUUGGGUUCAUCAUCAGGUUUUAUGGUUUUGUGCGUGAGGAUCUCCUGCUUUCUUGUAGGGCCGUUCCUAAGCAGGUGGCAAGGAUAUUUGGAGCAAGUAGGUGCCUCCCGUUCUGCAAAAGCCCUUUCAAAGCCGACGGCUCCUCUUGACUUCCCACCAGGCAGCUGCCAGGGGGCCCAGCUCCAAGCAGAUGGUGAUGGGAGGACUGCGAGGUGGUAGCGGUGCGAAUACGGCAUCUUGUGCAUGAUGCACUUGGGACAGCUGGGAUGUAUAAGCCAAAAGCAGCAGCCCCAGCCGAGCUUCAUGGUGAUUUCUGCAGUUGCCAUGCUUCUUUCCUUGCUGGCAGCUGCCUUGGAGGAAGAGGAGGAGGAGGAGGAUGCUGAGAUGGAGGAGCUGCUUUGGGAAGGGCUUUUCUUGGAAAAGCUCUUCUGUGCAGUGCAGGAUGGGUUCCAAACAUGUGUGGGUGAGGCUGGAAAUGUGGUGCACCAGCUCUGCUUCCCCAAAUCAGCUGCUCUGUGAGCAACAGGAUGAGGUUAUUCCCUCCCAGCUCUUUAUUUCCCUUCAGAUCAUCCCAAUCCCACUGCUGUGUGUCUGUCCACAUUCUAACAGCAUGGUGCCUCAUGUGCAAGCAGGUCCAAUACCUAAUGGCCCGGGCAGACCUCUUGUUCUUCACCAGCACGAUGCCCUUUAAAGGUCCCUUCCAAUUCUAAGGAUUCUAUGACAUCUUCUGAAGAUCUGCACUUGGGGACGACCCAAGUGUCACCACCUGCACACGGUGACCCCAUCCUGCAGGG